RNAcentral lists this ribosomal RNA (392 nucleotides) under uncultured Bacillota bacterium. Its description in RNAcentral is "bacterial SSU rRNA". It matches the Rfam family "Bacterial small subunit ribosomal RNA", at positions 989 to 1382 of the family's 1533-position model. The record is from RNAcentral. Lineage: Bacteria; Bacillati; Bacillota.
UUUUUGAAUGGUCUAGAGAUAGAUCAGGCCUUCGGGACAGAAGAGACAGGUGGUGCAUGGUUGUCGUCAGCUCGUGUCGUGAGAUGUUGGGUUAAGUCCCGCAACGAGCGCAACCCUUAUCAUUAGUUGCUAACAUUCAGUUGAGAACUCUAAUGAGACUGCCAGUGAUAAACUGGAGGAAGGUGGGGAUGACGUCAAAUCAUCAUGCCCCUUAUGACCUGGGCUACACACGUGCUACAAUGGCCGGUACAAAGAGUUGCGAAACUGUGAAGUUAAGCUAAUCUCAUAAAGCCGGUCUCAGUUCGGAUUGUAGUCUGCAACUCGACUACAUGAAGUUGGAAUCGCUAGUAAUCGUGGAUCAGCAUGCCACGGUGAAUACGUUCCCGGGCCUU